Molecule: ribosomal RNA, 270 nt
Filed under: uncultured prokaryote
Description: partial 16S ribosomal RNA
Rfam family: Bacterial small subunit ribosomal RNA
Source: RNAcentral
UACGUAGGUGGCGAGCGUUAUCUGGAUUUACUGGGUGUAAGGGCGUGUAGGCGGCUCUGCAAGUCAGAUGUGAAAUUUCCGGGCUUAACCCGGACGGGUCAUCUGAAACUGCAGGACUUGAGUACUUGAGAGGAUAGCGGAAUUCCUAGUGUAGCGGUAAAAUGCGUAGAUAUUAGGAGGAACACCGGUGGCGAAGGUGGCUAUCUGGACAGUAACUGACGCUGAGGCGCGAAAGCGUGGGGAGCAAACAGGAUUAGAUACCCUGGUAGU